CAAAUUCGAAGGAACAGAGACCAACCGUUACUCACCUGUGCCUAUUACCCCAGGUCUUCCCCCCCCUGUGGAGGUUCCGGGGCGACCACAAUUAGGGAGCAUGUUCAAGCCAGAUGGGCCGGUUAUACGAUUGGGACGCCCAAUAUCCCGAGCCGAAAUCUGGCUGAUGCAGCCUCCUGCGGGAAUACCACAAUGUGUUCGGGAUGUAGGUAGUGGUCCUCCUAGCGGCAGUCAAUCCGAUGGAGACGGGGCGUCGGUUCGCCCCGAACCGACAGCACACCGACAGGAAAUCGCACAUCAGGCCGCCCAAAUCAUUAACCGGGCCAUCCACCGAGUGAUCGUUGACUUUUGGGUGAGGUUACGUUCUUUUCUACUGCAUUAGGGCGACGACCUAAGAGCGGUUGGAACACAGUUGGACCUAUCAUCGGCGCUGUCAAAGCGGUUCAUGAGCCUCCGGAUUCGUCUGAGCCGUACGAGCUCGCUGAAGCUUGUUAACAUCCAUUUAUCCAUUCAUCCAUCCAUCCAAUUGGACCUUACCACCCCUUCUUACGAGUGUAGAGGACAAUUUGCAUUGCAUGGAUGCGCUCACAGAUGAAGGUGACCGGAAAUUCCAACAAUCGGAGGUGAUUUUCAGUCACAGCUUGGUAGGAUGGUGGUCCCGUGUGUAUUCGGCCGCACUUCUUCACAUCGAGGCAACCCUAGUACGCCCGUAUUUGUAGGCAUGAGUUUGCCACUCACAGGGGAGCCAUAUUGGCAAAAUCCCCUUGUUGG
This 771-nucleotide long non-coding RNA is filed under the name Volvox carteri. Its description in RNAcentral is "long non-coding RNA (VCAR_LNC003301)". Lineage: Eukaryota; Viridiplantae; Chlorophyta; Chlorophyceae; Chlamydomonadales; Volvocaceae. The record is from RNAcentral.